Non-coding RNA from Nematostella vectensis (starlet sea anemone), 114 nucleotides. NCBI's taxonomy places the organism in Eukaryota, Metazoa, Cnidaria, Anthozoa, Actiniaria, Edwardsiidae. The record is from Rfam.
GUUGGUUACGGUGACAUGCGACCACGAACAUUGGCGGGAAAACUUGUGGGCAGCGUUUGUGCCAUAAGCGGCGUUCUUAUGAUCGCGUUGCCUGUCUCUGUGGUUGCAAGUAAU